AUGUAUUACGUUGGGAAUAAUGAUUUGUAAAGUAAAAACUGAAGUGUAGUUUUCCACUCGCUCCACCAGGCGGCAGAAUCAGUCUUUAGGUUCAGUUUGACACAUUCAGAUGCUUGACAACAUGACGCUUGAUAAUAGCACGUGCAGACUGAUUUAAAUGUAAAUUCUGCAGAUAACAACUCAAUUACAGACUUAUAAUGUCACUUAACAGCACACACUUCAGCCCAUAAACAAACAAACGCUGUGAUAAAGUGCAGGAGUGGAAGAUGUCACGAGACUCACCUAAUAAGGGAUGUUUGAAGUGUUACUCUCAACAAACAGAAGCAUGUGGACACUGGACAGACAUUGACUGUAAUGAUGGACAUCUGCUGAAGCACAGGCAGAAGUAUAACGCCUGCUGGACAUUGUGCUGGAACUCGGGGAGGACACCAUGAUCCCCCACACCUUCUCACUCACACCAGACCAUUCACUCAUAUCACGGAGAUCUGGCUGGACUUGAACCAGCAACCUCUGAAAC
Molecule: long non-coding RNA, 517 nt
Organism: Cyprinus carpio (common carp)
Lineage: Eukaryota; Metazoa; Chordata; Actinopteri; Cypriniformes; Cyprinidae
Source: RefSeq, a predicted model, not a curated record